CAACUUUCUCUUAGGGGACAUACUUCUAUCAAAUAAGUUAGUUGUCUAUGAUCUUGAAAAACAAGUGAUUGGCUGGACUGACUACAACUGUUCUGGGAGCAUCAAAGUCCAAGAUGACAAAUCUGGAGCAGUCUAUACUGUCGACGCCCACAGUGUUUCAUCUGCUAACAUAUUGGAAACCGGAGGGUCCCUUUUCCUUUUUCUCAUUACAGCGGCUUUUUAUAUGUUUUGGUCUUUCGGUCAGUGAGUCGUGGAG
Molecule: unclassified non-coding RNA, 256 nt
Filed under: Hevea brasiliensis (rubber tree)
Lineage: Eukaryota; Viridiplantae; Streptophyta; Magnoliopsida; Malpighiales; Euphorbiaceae
Source: RNAcentral